RNAcentral lists this long non-coding RNA (674 nucleotides) under Ananas comosus (pineapple). RNAcentral's name for it is "long non-coding RNA (ACOM_LNC024195)". The record is from RNAcentral. Lineage: Eukaryota; Viridiplantae; Streptophyta; Magnoliopsida; Poales; Bromeliaceae.
UGCAUGAUCUAGUUGCUUAGCCUUGGGCGGACAAGAGAGGUGCUGUCCGUUCGGCGGUCCGUCCGGCGCGCCCGAACCGUGCCAAAUUGGUAGUGGAUUCGGGGCGGGGCGUGACACAUUAUAUAUAUAUAUAUAUAUAUAGCUAGGCUCCUAUGCUUUCGAAAGUACGGAGGCCUCCGUACUUGUAAGUUGUUUUCAAUGAUGGGACUUCCAAUUCGGCGAUCGGUUCCGUUAAAUAUGAUCUACGCUAUUGGAACUAUCUAGAAACCAAAUUUCAUAAUUUUUUGACUUUGUUUGCCUAGUGAACGAGUAGUUUCAAAAUGAACGGCUGAAAAUAAAAAUCUCAUUAAAAACAGUGAUAAAAGACUCAAAUUUCAAAUCGGAAGUAUUGUUCUUACUCUUAAUGCUAAGUAGAAUUUUCUAUUAAAAUUCAUGUAAUUUGGAAACUUCUACACCGUUGAAUUUAAAAACGUGCCACAUCGGCCGUUCAAAUAGUCAAUUUUGAGACCCUGUGAUCGCUUGAUAAAUGAUGUCGAAAAAUUAUAAAAUUUGAUUUCUAGAUAGUUACAAUAGCGUAGAUUAUGCCUAACGGAGCCGAUCGUCGAAUCGGAUGUCCUAUAAUCGAAAACAACUUAUAAGUACGGAGGCCUCCGUACUUUUGAAAGCACGGGAGA